This 774-nucleotide ribosomal RNA is filed under the name uncultured Neocallimastigales. RNAcentral describes it as "partial large subunit ribosomal RNA". It matches the Rfam family "Eukaryotic large subunit ribosomal RNA", at positions 23 to 647 of the family's 3401-position model. Lineage: Eukaryota; Fungi; Neocallimastigomycota; Neocallimastigomycetes; Neocallimastigales. The record is from RNAcentral.
AGAGAUGUGUGAUGACGCAUAUCAAUAAGCGGAGGAAAAGAAACUAACAAGGAUUCCCUUAGUAACGGCGAGUGAAGCGGGAAGAGCUCAAAUUUGAAAUCUUCAAGGUUCUACCUUGACGAAUUGUAGUUUAUAGAAGUGUUUUCUGUUAGUAGAGUGGCAAAAGUUCUUUGGAAUAGGACAUCAUAGAGGGUGAGAAUCCCGUAUUUGGUCAUUCUUUCUAGCUUUGUGAUACACUUUCAACGAGUCGGAUUGUUUGGGAAUGCAGUCCAAAAUGGGUGGUAAAUUUCAUCUAAAGCUAAAUAUUGGCGAGAGACCGAUAGCGAACAAGUACCGUGAGGGAAAGAUGAAAAGAACUUUGAAAAGAGAGUUAAACAGUACGUGAAAUUGUCAAAAGGGAAGCGUUUGACACCAGUGUUGUUUUUCCGAAAAUCAAUUACGAAUGUUUUGUUUUUGAGGAGUUAUGACUUCAUCGGCUUGCUUCUCUCUUUACGAAACUUUCUUAAUGCACUUUUCGGUUAACAAGUCAACAUCAAUUUCUUUUGUUGUAAAAGGGUAUGAGGAAGGUGGCUUUCUUUUCGGAGAAAGUGUUUAUAGCCUUGUGCCUCUGCAAUCGGAGAGAUUGAGGUCUGCAGCGUAGAUCCUUCGGGGUUAGAUACAUUUGUGCUAAGUUAUAGCUUUUCAUAGACAACUUGUUGACUAUGUUAAGUCUUGUAGCUUACUCGCUUAUGCUAUUUUACCUACGCUUAGGAUGUUGAUCUGUAGUGCGUGCGC